Microcebus murinus (gray mouse lemur) is the source of this 1927-nucleotide long non-coding RNA. NCBI's taxonomy places the organism in Eukaryota, Metazoa, Chordata, Mammalia, Primates, Cheirogaleidae. The record is from Ensembl.
CAGGGGCCUCGGGCAAAGUCCCAAUCCGGCCCGCCUGGCCACCCGUUUGCCUGCGUCGCCCACAGACUUGCAGUCAGAAACUUCCUCGGAGGAAUGCAGCCUGGGAAGACCGAGCGUCGGAGGGCUUGGAGCGCCGUGGCAGCUGGAUAGUAUUCGGGCCCAUCCGAAUAAGCGAGUCCAGUGUCUCCGGCAGCAGGAGCUUGGCAGGAUCUUGGAUGGCCAUCUUUCUCCUGAUGCUGAUACGAUGGAUCCUGGGAUAAAAGCCUGCCCAGAUACCAUCCCCACCCCUAAUCCUUGCUCUCUGGUUACUUGCCUGAGGCAAGGGUGGAGUGGAAGACAAGUUAGGGAGAGUCAAGUAGUCUGUUCUCUUGUUAGGGACCACAGAGAUUGGGGGUGAAGAUGGAACCGAUGUAUGGCCCAACUCUUGGUGGUGAGUGUGGCUACUAAGCACUGGGUUGCGUUUUCCCAUCCCACCUUCUCUUCUCAUCUCUUAAACUCUUCCAGAGGGGGAUUGGGUUGUUCAGUAUGCUACGGGGUGGUGCAGAGGGUAUGGCCAAUAAACAGCAGGGAAUUCGACUUUGUCUGGCUCCUUUCUGUCGUAAUCUGACCAUAAGGCCUCAGGGCUCCAGAAGGAUUGGGAAUGGGGAGAUAGUGUGAGAAGUCACUUUAUUUCUAUGGGUCUCAGUUUCCCCAGAUGUAAAAUCAAAGAGUUUUACCAGAUGAUCUCUGCGUCAACAUGUGGACUCUAUGAGUCUCAUUCCAAGAAAAGUUCCUGGGGCUUGGCCAGCAGGUCCUAAGUCCCCUUUCUUUUUUCUGUAAAAUGGACAAUAAUUAUUCAAUUUCAGAAUGAGGAUACAUGUAUCCAUAUAAUAUUAUCAGACCUUUCUCCUGUCUUUAAUCAUUUCUGAGCUCAUUAGCUCCCCCUUCCCAGUAGAGGAUGGAUACAGACAGCAAUGUUUGUGCUAUCAUAUACUCAUUAAAAAACAGGUUGGACUCUAUUAUGUACCUGGUACUGUGUUAGGCCCUGGGGAUUCAACAGUACACAAGACUCAGUCUUUAAUCUUACAGAGAGAACAGUGGACAGUUGAGUGCAGGCAAUAGGUAGUGUGGUCCAGGAAGCAGGACGGGCCUUAUAAAUUGGAAGAGGUGGUACCUACCAGUGAGGGAGAAUUUCACAAAACCACAGGAAGGCCUUGUUGCUUUUCUUUGUUGCUUUGUUUUUGAAAUACUAUUUUUUAUUGAUGUCCAUGAUCAUUUUAGAAAUUAAUUUCCUGGGAAUAAAUGUUGCCACAAGCAACAUAAUAAAAGUUAAGUUUAACAGUCUUAAUAUUUCAUUUUCUGACAUUUUGUUGUCAUUUAAUGUUUUAACAGUUCCUGAAAAAAAUGUGGUCAAAUGACCAACCCAUAUUAUUUUUUCAUGCACGUCAAAGUCACACAUUUAUUAAAUCAGCAUACAAUUAAUUAAUUACAUUUCAUUGGGAAUUCAUAUUGACUUUAUAGGUCUGGAGUAGACUAUUUAUUUAUUUAUUUAUUUUUUGUUUGUUUGUUUUUGAGACAGAGUCUCGCUUGUUGCCCAGGCUAGAGUGAGUGCCAUGGCGUCAGCCUAGCUCACAGCAACCUCAAACUCCUGGGCUCAAGCAAUCCUACUGCCUCAGCCUCCCGAGUAGCUGGGACUACAGGCACGUGCCACCAUGCCCGGCUAAUUUUAUAUAUAUAUAUUAGUUGGCCAAUUAAUUUCUUUCUAUUUUUAUAGUAGAGACAGGGUCUUGCUCAGGCUGGUUUUGAACUCCUGACCUUGAGCAAUCCGCCCGCCUCGGCCUCCCAGAGUGCUAGGAUUACAAGCGUGAGCCACCACGCCCAGCCUGGAGUAGACUAUUUAAACAGCACUGCUAGAAAAGGCAUUAACCCUUCCCCUUAUUUAAAAGAU